Molecule: ribosomal RNA, 253 nt
Filed under: uncultured Gammaproteobacteria bacterium
Lineage: Bacteria; Pseudomonadati; Pseudomonadota; Gammaproteobacteria
Description: partial 16S ribosomal RNA
Rfam family: Bacterial small subunit ribosomal RNA
Source: RNAcentral
UACAGAGGGUGCGAGCGUUAAUCGGAAUUACUGGGCGUAAAGGGCGCGUAGGCGGAUUUGUAAGUUAUGUGUGAAAGCUCUGGGCUUAACCUGGGAACUGCACAUAAUACUGUAAGUCUAGAGUAGAGUAGAGGAAAGUGGAAUUUCCGGUGUAGCGGUGAAAUGCGUAGAUAUCGGAAGGAACACCAGUGGCGAAGGCGGCUUUCUGGACUCAUACUGACGCUGAGGCGCGAAAGCGUGGGGAGCAAACAGG